This 1052-nucleotide long non-coding RNA is filed under the name Homo sapiens (human). RNAcentral's name for it is "HSALNT0371973". Lineage: Eukaryota; Metazoa; Chordata; Mammalia; Primates; Hominidae. The record is from RNAcentral.
GGGCAGUGAGCCUUUGGUCCAUUCUGAGGUUGGGCUGGUUUCUCCUCUUGGCCCUCCCCUACAGACCAUAAAGGAAAUCAGCAAGAAGUCCCCAGCAAACAUCCACAGAUGGCCCUGGACAUCAGCCACAUUCUGAGAAACAUGUCAUGUUCUGGGAGGGCUAAGGCAUCAACCUCACCUUGCAGGAAUCCCAGUGAAUAUAUUGCCACCCUAUUUGAGCUCAGUGCCCUCAUAGUGUAAUGGCACCAGCAGAUCUGCCUGUGCAUGGACUUCCUGUACUACCCAUUCCUGACGGUGAUGCUUCUGCAGGGCCUGUGACCUGGUGCACAACUUUAGACACCAUCAUCCUGGAGCAGCACUGCACCCUCACUAGCCAGGGUGUUCAUGACUUCCUCAAGGCCAAGGCCACGUUCAAGACUUAAGACUUCAGUGAUGCACUUAUGCUGGGCAAGGUGGCUUCUCGGGUAUCUUAAUUUGGGAGGUAGAAUGCAGCUUGAGAUCAAAUGUCUGAUCAAAGAACUUGAACUUGAUCUGGAGGGCUCUGGGGAGCCAUGGAAGGUGCUGGAUAAAGGAGGGACAGUCAGAUAUGUUUUAGAGAUGACUGUAGAAGGCUGCCUGGAAGGAGUGAACAAGAGCCAGGAGACCCGGGAGGGAGCUUGUGGGGCAGGUCUGGAGAUGGCAAGGGAGGGAUUCUGCUUGGAUGAAAAGUCUUCAGGGACUGUCUCAGGUUACACUCAGGUGCCCUCAGAGCUAAUGUGUUCAGAGGUCUUGUCUCCAGGAUGAAAAUGGGAAGGAGUUGUCAGAUGAGGACAUAUAAAUGGAGGCUGACAUCUUCAUGAGGAUAUGACAGCACAGCCACUGGCCUCUACUGAAUCCUAUGCAACCUCAGAAGACACCCAGGAGUGAUGCCAUCAUGUGGUGCAAGAGUUCUGAGGGACCGCAAUCCUGAAGACAUUGAAUGGUGGGUACAGGGCCUCAUGGCCUGUUCCCCAGCUCCUCUCAUUGGCUCUGCUCCAGGUGGUGAAGGGGGAUAACAUUUCUGUCAAUUCUGC